This 75-nucleotide transfer RNA is filed under the name Lysobacterales bacterium. RNAcentral describes it as "tRNA-Lys". It matches the Rfam family "tRNA". From Rfam's summary of the family: Transfer RNA (tRNA) molecules are approximately 80 nucleotides in length. Their secondary structure includes four short double-helical elements and three loops (D, anti-codon, and T loops). Lineage: Bacteria; Pseudomonadati; Pseudomonadota; Gammaproteobacteria; Lysobacterales. The record is from RNAcentral.
GGGGGUAUAGCUCAGCGGUAGAGCAGUGGCCUUUUAAGCCAUUGGUCGCAGGUUCAAAUCCUGCUGCCCCCACCA